CGUGGACCUGUUCCAUAGCAACCAUGCCGUCACCAUAGAUACCACGUCACCGAGCAUUCCGCUGGAAAUCGAUGAUAUAGGGGAGUUAAUAGUUGUCGGCGAGCUCAAUGCCGACUACCCACACACCGUGUACGAGGUAACCAUUCGGGUGAAAGAUUCGUGCGCGUCCACGGACACGUGCGUCGUCACUCUGACAGUUACGAACGAACCCAAGCCAAUCCGUUUCCUCGGACUACCUGCAAGCAUUUCUUUGGUCCCUUCUGGCGACGUCAUCCACAAAUUUCAAAUAACACGACAGCGCGUGGUCGAUGACGUCACGUGUUACAUCA
This is a long non-coding RNA of Dreissena polymorpha, 329 nucleotides long. RefSeq lists it as uncharacterized. The record is from RefSeq and is a predicted model, not a curated record. Lineage: Eukaryota; Metazoa; Mollusca; Bivalvia; Myida; Dreissenidae. The transcript has 3 exons.